AUCCCUGUAGUGCAAUGUGUAGUGCGUUGGACUUUUAAUCCAAUGUCGGGGGUUCAAAUCCCACCUGGGAUA
Molecule: non-coding RNA, 72 nt
Organism: Trichonephila clavipes
Lineage: Eukaryota; Metazoa; Arthropoda; Arachnida; Araneae; Nephilidae
Source: the annotation of a GenBank genome assembly